AGGCCUAACACAUGCAAGUCGAGCGGUAGCACAAGGGAGCUUGCUCCCUGGGUGACGAGCGGCGGACGGGUGAGUAAUGUCUGGGGAUCUGCCUGAUGGAGGGGGAUAACUACUGGAAACGGUAGCUAAUACCGCAUAACGUCGCAAGACCAAAGUGGGGGACCUUAGGGCCUCAUGCCAUCGGAUGAACCCAGAUGGGAUUAGCUAGUAGGUGGGGUAAUGGCUCACCUAGGCGACGAUCCCUAGCUGGUCUGAGAGGAUGACCAGCCACGCUGGAACUGAGACACGGUCCAGACUCCUACGGGAGGCAGCAGUGGGGAAUAUUGCACAAUGGGCGCAAGCCUGAUGCAGCCAUGCCGCGUGUGUGAAGAAGGCCUUAGGGUUGUAAAGCACUUUCAGCGAGGAGGAAGGAUGAAGUGUUAAUAGCACUUGAUAUUGACGUUACUCGCAGAAGAAGCACCGGCUAACUCCGUGCCAGCAGCCGCGGUAAUACGGAGGGUGCAAGCGUUAAUCGGAAAUUCGAUGCAACGCGAAGAACCUUACCUACUCUUGACAUCCAGAGAAUUAGCCAGAGAUGGCUGAGUGCCUUCGGGAGCUCUGAGACAGGUGCUGCAUGGCUGUCGUCAGCUCGUGUUGUGAAAUGUUGGGUUAAGUCCCGCAACGAGCGCAACCCUUAUCCUUUGUUGCCAGCGAUUCGGUCGGGAACUCAAAGGAGACUGCCGGUGAUAAACCGGAGGAAGGUGGGGAUGACGUCAAGUCAUCAUGGCCCUUACGAGUAGGGCUACACACGUGCUACAAUGGCGUAUACAAAGAGAAGCGAGCCUGCGAGGGGAAGCGGACCUCAUAAAGUACGUCGUAGUCCGGAUUGGAGUCUGCAACUCGACUCCAUGAAGUCGGAAUCGCUAGUAAUCGUAGAUCAGAAUGCUACGGUGAAUACGUUCCCGGGCCUUGUACACACCGCCCGUCACANCCAUGGGAGUGGGUUGCAAAAGAAGUAGGUAGCUUAACCUUCGGGAGGGCGCUUACCACUUUGUGGUUCAUGA
RNAcentral lists this ribosomal RNA (1043 nucleotides) under uncultured Eubacterium sp. Its description in RNAcentral is "bacterial SSU rRNA". It matches the Rfam family "Bacterial small subunit ribosomal RNA". The record is from RNAcentral. Lineage: Bacteria; Bacillati; Bacillota; Clostridia; Eubacteriales; Eubacteriaceae.